RNAcentral lists this long non-coding RNA (2405 nucleotides) under Bemisia tabaci. RNAcentral's name for it is "lncRNA ENSSSA1NGG012411". Lineage: Eukaryota; Metazoa; Arthropoda; Insecta; Hemiptera; Aleyrodidae. The record is from RNAcentral.
GUACUACUAAAGUCAAUAACCAAACUACAGAAAUUAGUAAGAUAUUCAAUUUACUAAUUAAAUUUCUAUAAAGUUUUACGCUAACAAAAACAAUAACUCUUCAUUUUUAUUCAAAUUUUUUGACGACUGAGUUUUAAGACAUGAAAAAUGUGAAAACUACGUGAAGCUCAAUGAGCUGAAACAAAUUUAUCUUAGUAGUAUUAAAGCAGAGUUGCCUCUUCGGUGGCAAAUUUUCAAGUUGUUUACGCCACUUCGGCACUACGCCCGUUUAUCGCCUGCGCUUUCCUCUCCUCCCGAAAUCUCCAUUAGUUCAAAGUUUUUGGUGGUUGUGUCGGUUCGGUUUCGGUAACAUGGUAAUAAUCUGUGGCCGAGAAGAUUCCGUAGCGUUGUGAGUGUUUACCGAGAAUUGUGGUGUUUCCCGUGAUUUGUGAUUGUGCUUACAGUGUUACUUGUGGAUAUUUGGAUAACCAUUUUCAAGAUCUCCUCUUUUAGUGGAUUAAAUUCCUUAAGACUGCCGAUGACAACGACAAAAUAAAGCAACAAAUUCAGUUUCAGGUCCCACGGUAAUCAGAAAAUUAGACCGGCACAAAAUGUCAAUGUCAUUGGUGGUGCAGGGUGCCGUCGAGGAAAUGCAAUGCAAUAUAUUUGGGGCUUGCUCUAUUCAGAUCAGAACUUGGGUUUUUUAAGAAUGAAGUCAGUGACAUUGGUACUUCAAGGACACGUUCACAGCGGGUCGUAUGCAGCCCGUAACAACGAUACUUCGUGUCACAUACAUGGUGCCUGUGAGGAUCAGAUGAAUUUGUUGAGUGAGGCCUUCCCAGAAUGCAGAGACAACACAAUCUAUUUUGAGCGUGGAAUGCAGCAGUUAGUUAAGCAGGUGCACCUACAAAGACCAGUGUGCCAUGUCCUGAAUAUUUUGACCAAAGAAUAUGGGUACAAAAUUGUCUCCUCUAACUCCUUUUCUUGGAAUGACUUUACGAUUUCGAUGGAUUGGACCUUACAGAAAGAUUUGAUACUGGACUAAAGGUUGUUAAAAUGAUCAUUUACAUAAUACUAAUAAGUUUUGAUGCGGUUCUAAUAACGAAGUGAAUUGGAGGCCUAUAUCUUGUUUCAAAUGCUUAUUUUUAAAAAAGAUCAACUGUAUGAAUCUGUAUUUUUUGUUCUUCCUGUAUCAUUAAAUACCUUCAUUCUAAAUUCUCUAAUUGUUUUUUGUUUGUUUUUUUUUUUUUUUUAACUACCGUAUUUUUGAGGGUUGCGGAGAUCGAUGUGUCAACCGAGAACUACUUUUAUUCCUAUAUGGAGAAAUUAAAAUUCGAAGCACAAAAAUUCCGAAUUCCCUCAUCGGAAUCCUAUUCUCAUCCACUUUUUUAUGUAUUAAAAUGUACUAAAAUUUAAAUAUCUCGCAUAAGUUUAGGCGCCCUAUAUUUUUCUCCCUUUAUUACACUAUAUUCUUAAACCAUGAACAAACUCUUACUUACAUCUAAUCAUUUCAACCGUGUUGGAAGAAUAGGAAUAUUUUUCCUCUUUGUCGGGGAAAUGUCAGGGAAUUUUAAAUUUUUCCCCGGUUUUUUAGCCGUUUUUGCCAGGGAAAUCAGAGAAACGUCAGAAUUUUUUUUUUUUUUUGAACAUUGCGAGACACUCGUGCAGGACCACAAUAAACAAAACACAUUAGUGAGUUAUGCAAAUAUUAAGGGACUAUUAUCAACUUAUCAAAGUAUAAAACGAAUUAAAACGUCGUUAAUGACAUAACUGUCCCCAUAAUGCUGGCUGUCACUGUCAUCACUCUUAAAAUUUUAUCACCCGUCGCAACUUAGAGGAAAAAUAAUCAGUAUGCUUACAAUGCUCACAGUAGAAUCAGGUCCACCGGUCAUCGUCUUAUAUAGUUAAAAUUUCCCUAAUGUUAGACCGAAAUAAUCAUUACCAGGGCAGGAUUUACCUACUUGCCGCCCAUGGGCCGCCUGUAUUUUGCCGCCCCCUUCUCAUUAGUUUUGAAACAUCAAUAAAAACCAUCAAGUGAACGUGCGGGAGAAGGAUGCAGAAGACGCGUUUACUUGCGUUGGACACAUUUUUUUGGGAAAGCCCUGUCAACACUACUAGCAAAAGUUCACGGAACUCUGCGCAAAAGUUAAGUUCCGGAAACCUGUCUCUGUGUGGACAAAGCCUUCCAUUCAUAGGAAAUGAACAAAAAAAUUAUGAAAGAACAAACAUAAAUGUGAUUUAAUGAUUUUAACUUCCGCCGCGCCACGCAGGCAGAUCGCACCGUGUUUGGCGCAAUGCGUGAAGUAUUCAUGCAUUCUUGUAGGCGCUAUCCGUUUCACGCUGACUGCAGUGAUCGCACUGUGUUUGAUGCAAUGCGUGAAGUAUUCGUGCAGUCUUGUAGGCGCUAAUAUGUGUUACAUGCAGAC